CAAAGUCUCUGUUGCCCAGGCUGGAGUGCAGUGGCACGAUCACAGCCCACUGCAGCCUCGACCUCCUGGGCUCAGAUGAUCCUCCCACCUUAGCCUCCCAAGUAGCUGGGACUACAAGUGCACACCACCAUGCCCGGCUAAUUUUUUUGUAGAUAUGGGGUUUUGCCAUGAUGCCCAGGCUGAUCUCAAACUCCUAGGCUCAAGUAAUCCUUCUGCCUUGGCUUCCCAAAGUGCUGGGAUUAUAAGCAUGAGCCACCAUGCCAGGCCAAUAUUAUUCCCCAAAAGAAGGAAAUUGGGUGUGAGGUCCUGCUCCUAUGGUCACCAUGAGAUUUUUUUGUUUGUUUUGGACUCUUGCCCAGGCUGGAGUGCAGUGGCACGAUCAUGGCUCACUGCAACCUCAGCCUCCCUGGUAGCUAGGACCACAGGUGUGCACCACUAUGCCCAGGGAAUUUUUAAGUUUUUUGUAGAGACAGGGUCUCACCAUGUUGCCCAAGCUGUUCUCAAACUCCUGGCCUCAAGCAGUCCUCCUAUCCCAAAGUGCUGAAAUUACAGGCAUGAGCCACCACGCCUGGCCACCACUAGUUUUUGUAAUGGGAGCAGGUUCCAUAUGAGAUGGAGGAAUGGAUUUCAUGAUUGUCUUUGUAAUUUCUUAGGUCCCCAAGAAAUUGAUUGGACAUGAGGAAACCACUCUAAGUGUGACCACUCUAAAGCAUUAGCAGUCAGUCAUUUCACUCUAGGGAGAAAUCAGAGCUGUAUAUGGAGAAUAGGAUCUCUAUGAAGCACCAGAAUUAUCAGUGAAGAAUAUAUUAAAUGGCUCACGGGCUACUGUAAAGCAUAUUUCUAUCGCUUGAGAGUAAAACUGCUAGAACCAGUUCCUGUUUCUACAACAAGGUGUUCCUUUAGAGUCAAUGAGAACACACAAAACCUACAAAUUCAUGCAGGGGACAUCCUGAAGUUCUUGAAAAAGAAGAAACCUGAAGAUGCCUUCUGUGUUGUGGGAAUAACAAUGAUUGAUCUUUACCCAAGAGACUUGUGGAAUUUUGUCUUUGGACAGGCCUCUUUGACAGAUGGUAUUCCGUUUUUGGCAUUGUUGUUAGAAGCUUCUUCAACUUGAGAAUAUUUGAAGAUGUUAAAAGAGGGAAAAAAAUUCCAACCAAGAAUCAUAUUGAUAUUUAAAACUAUAGUAUUUUCAGUUGAGACAUUAUGCCAUAAUGGGAAGUGUGCUGUUGGUAGAUUGUGAUAAUCUAGGUUCUGGUUGGCCACUCACUACCUACAGGACCUUAAAGGCACUGGUGAGGUGGAUUGAUGAUGAAUCUUCUGGCACACCUGGAGCAACUCCAGAACACAGUCGUGAGGAUAAUGGGAAUUUACUGAAACCCGUGGAAGGAAGCCUUUAAGGAAUGGAAAGAGUGGAUAAUAAAAUGCCUGACUGUUCUCCAAAAAUAAGGACCUUCAAAUAGGAGUGAUUGAAAUAAAUGACUACUUGCAUGUUAUGCUUUCAUUUGGGUGGAAUACUUCAUCAGAAUAAACUAUUGAUCUUGUGCUGUGUCAAAGUAACAGACUAGAACCUUCUUUCAAGUACCUGAAUUGAAAUGAAACUCAUUUUGAAUAAUAAAAACUCUAGAAACUCUUUAUCUUCUCAUCUUACUGGCCUGGUCUGUGGCAGCAAGCACAUUAUUUCCAUUCCCCAAAUAUGUUUAGGUCUCCCAAGAAAGCUGGGACUGGCGGUAAUGAGCAAGUAAAUAACUUGAAAAAGAACUGUAGAUGCCCCAAGGAACCAACCAACAUAAUUUCCAGGGGGUGAUUUUGUUUUUAGAAGAGCUGCUCCCCUCUGUUAGGGCCAGCCAAGUCACAUUUUUGGACGUCCGUGGACUCUGAUCACCACAGCCCUCCUCUUCCGUGAGCCUUCCUUACUCUCUCGAGUGCAUUAGCUCAUUUUUUUUCUUUUGCUGGUUGUCACCUUAUUCCUGUUUUAGUUUUUAGCAGCUUAAAAUACGACCUCUCAGGAAUAUUUGCAAGUGAAAAUAACAAUGGUCCUUACACUACCACAACAUUUGGUGGUGGGAGUUCCGUUGCAGGUCUCAGCUAUAACAUAGUCAUUUAUGAGGGAUCUUACAAAUAGUGUGUAAUGGUAUUUAUAUUUGUGAGUGUUACACUUUCUCUAUAGACUUAGAGCAGCUUUCAGGUUUAUUUCAGUAAUAAUGUCUUUCUCACCUUCUCACAUUGUGAAGUGUUUACCUGAGUCAGGGAGAGAGUUUAAUGGGGUUAUCUGUCGGGGUGCCAUGAAUGCUGAUGAUGGUCUGCAGGUUGUGAACAUCAGCCCCAUUGCUACAGGGGUGGACAGGUGGAAAAGCUCAGACUUGACAAACCACCUCUGCUAGAUAGAUGUGUCUUGGAAAUCCAGAAAUUACAGUGAAUAUUUUAUGGAAUGCCAGUGAGCAGACAGCAUUUCCCACUUUCCUAUCUUACCUUGAGGGUAAGACUUAAAGGUAUUUUUUUUUCUUGUAAUUUGAAGCCUAAAUUCUUUGAUUGUUUGAUGUAUGCAAUAUGAUGUAAGGCACAUUUUAUACCCCUAGUCAGUGGUUUCCCUUGGAUUCAUUCUCCUACUUGAUUGAACCCAUUUAAGUCAUUUUAGGAAAUGGUGGUUUGCUAUUAAAAUUAAUUGGAGAGAAUACUUGGUCAUUCUGUUAGCAAAAAGAGACUGAUGGAGCAUGGUGUUUUAUGGAUUCUGUUACAGGGCUUAUUCCUCCUUGAAUAAUGUGCUUUAAAAAUUAUUGUCCAUUCGAUUACAUUUUCUUUUAUUUUCCUACAAUGUAAGCACGGUUUUAGUCCUGUAGGUCAGCCUUUCUCACAAACUCUUUUGAACUAAGAUUUGCCUAGGUGAAUAAAUUGGGGAUGACGGUUGUCUGGAGAAGAUAUAAGGUCCAUUUGUGAAUACUCUGCACUAUGAGACCAGGAGAAAAAUCAUCUAAGAAAUCGUUCACUCUUGCUAAAAACUGAACUAAAUUUUAUAUGAUGCAUUUAUUCAGCAAUCAUAAGUGCUGUGCAUAACUAUUGUACAUAUUUUUGGACAAUUUCUUAGGGUUCAGCUUAAAAAUAUAAUUUGCCUACUGCAACU
Molecule: long non-coding RNA, 3118 nt
Filed under: Homo sapiens (human)
Lineage: Eukaryota; Metazoa; Chordata; Mammalia; Primates; Hominidae
Description: PREDICTED lncRNA (TCONS_00120774)
Source: RNAcentral